ACAUUCGUAGUGUAGGGGUUAUCAUCUGAGCUUCCAAUGCUUAGGACCCGGGUUCGAGUCCCGGCGGAUGUA
RNAcentral lists this transfer RNA (72 nucleotides) under Puccinia triticina 1-1 BBBD Race 1. Its description in RNAcentral is "tRNA-Trp (CCA) (tRNA-Trp-CCA-2-1)". It matches the Rfam family "tRNA". From Rfam's summary of the family: Transfer RNA (tRNA) molecules are approximately 80 nucleotides in length. Their secondary structure includes four short double-helical elements and three loops (D, anti-codon, and T loops). Further hydrogen bonds mediate the characteristic L-shaped molecular structure. tRNAs have two regions of fundamental functional importance: the anti-codon, which is responsible for specific mRNA codon recognition, and the 3' end, to which the tRNAs corresponding amino acid is attached (by aminoacyl-tRNA synthetases). tRNAs cope with the degeneracy of the genetic code in two manners: having more than one tRNA (with a specific anti-codon) for a particular amino acid; and 'wobble' base-pairing, i.e. permitting non-standard base-pairing at the 3rd anti-codon position. Lineage: Eukaryota; Fungi; Basidiomycota; Pucciniomycetes; Pucciniales; Pucciniaceae. The record is from RNAcentral.